AGUGAACGUUGGCGGCGUGCCUAACACAUGCAAGUCGAACGAGAACCGAGUAGCUUGCUACUCGGGGAAAGUGGCGAACGGGUGAGUAACACGUGAGCAAUCGGCCCUCGAGUGAGGAAUAACCCCGCGAAAGCGGGGCUAAUACCGCAUAAUGCUCUGGAGCAUAAGCUUUCAGAGUUAAAGCCUCUAGGGGCGCUUGAGGAUGAGCUUGCGUCCUAUUAGCUUGUUGGUAGGGUAAUGGCCUACCAAGGUUAUGAUGGGUAGCCGGCCUGAGAGGGUGUACGGCCACACUGGAACUUAGACACGGUCCAGACUCCUACGGGAGGCAGCAGUGGGGAAUUUUGCGCAAUGGGCGAAAGCCUGACGCAGCGACGCCGCGUGGAGGAUGACGGCCUUCGGGUUGUAAACUCCUGUCAGAGGUGAAGAAAGCCCUUUCGGGGGCCUGACGGUAACCUCAGAGGAAGCCCCGGCUAACUACGUG
This 481-nucleotide ribosomal RNA is filed under the name uncultured bacterium. RNAcentral's name for it is "bacterial SSU rRNA". It matches the Rfam family "Bacterial small subunit ribosomal RNA", at positions 29 to 507 of the family's 1533-position model. The record is from RNAcentral.